This 63-nucleotide transfer RNA is filed under the name Anoplotermes sp. G17-067. RNAcentral's name for it is "tRNA-Asp". Lineage: Eukaryota; Metazoa; Arthropoda; Insecta; Blattodea; Termitidae. The record is from RNAcentral.
GAAGGAUUAGUUAAAAUAUAACAUCAGAAUGUCAAACUGAAGUAAUCAGAAAGGUAUCCUUCU